This 4612-nucleotide long non-coding RNA is filed under the name Selaginella moellendorffii. RNAcentral's name for it is "long non-coding RNA (SMOE_LNC000962)". Lineage: Eukaryota; Viridiplantae; Streptophyta; Lycopodiopsida; Selaginellales; Selaginellaceae. The record is from RNAcentral.
GUUGAAUUCUUCCUGCCUCGGCCAUUUCCAGAACGUUUGACUCUACUUGCUCCAAGUUCCGUAAAGUUUUCUCGGCCAACUGAGAGAGGUCGUGGUCCUUGCUAGCGAGAAGGCCGGCCAGGUGAAUUACGGCUCCUUUCCCUGUGCCUAGAACCUCACAAACCUCUAGGCUGCUGGUUGAGAGAUGGUAUAGUAACCGAGCAGCAUUUGCUUUCUCUUCGUCUUCCUUGCUGCCAAGGCUUCGCACGCUGAAUCUUAAGAAGCCUUCCUUCACGAUGAUGUGCUGUGACAAAGAUAGCAGAAGAGAGCCUAAGUUACUUUCAAACAGAAAACUUUUUGCGAAUCGAACAUACCUGAUUGUCGGCGUCGUCUACAGCCAUCCUGUCGAGAACUUCGAGCGCUUUCGAGCGGAAAUAAGCAGCACCUUCCAAGCUCCAGAUCUUUGCAAUCUUGGGGAUGAGGUUAGCACUCUUGAUCUUCCACUUGUUCAUCGGGUUCUCGUUGAAAAGCCGGAGGAUCUCGUCGAGAGCACCGUCCACGUCCUGCAUGAGCUCCACAGCUGUGAGCCUGUCCACCACGCUCUGCACUCGAAACGCUACAUUCCUCUGGUACCACUCCUCGAUGGUCUUUCGCAGCACAAGGUUGGAAUGGAGCUCCGUGGUCGACAAGACGCGUCCACUGCUCGGACAAGUCGGCUCCCUGUCCUGCUCCCGGCACGUCCGAAACCAUUCCUCGAUUGCAUUCCGCUCGUAGGUGUGCUCCGACUCGAGCACCACCGGGUCCUUCAUGACUUGUUUCGUGAGCGGGCACUCGAAGGCAUCGAACGAUGGUAUCGCCUCGUUGUCAGUCUGUAGCAAUGCCGAGUUCUCACAAGCCAGAGUGCUCAAAAGUUCCUCCACCAUGGUUUCCAGCUCGUCCUUGUCCUCGGUGCUGAUAUCCGCUUUGAAGUACCGGAGCUCUCGAGACAAGAGCUCCCUAUCUCUUUCGAAGUUAAUGCCCAGAUCCGUGGAGAACUUCACGAUGAGCGAGUCAGCGUCGAGGUCUAGCAGAUUUCGCGUCUCAUCCUCCUCCGCAUUUGGAACCUGGUAAAGAAAACUCUCUUUUCCCAUUAUUUAUUUUGAGUGACUCUUACCUCGUAAGUUGUUUGUUUCAUUCUCGAGAUGAGAUUGUCGAGCUUCGAUCUGGAAUUUUCUGACAAGGAGCUGCUCGCGUCCUGGAGCUGGGCGAGCGAGUUUUCCAAUCCACGCACGACCUCUUCCACCUCACGGUUGAGCACACGCAGCCAAACGAUCAUAUACAGCCGCCGCUUACGCUUGUGCCUGCUAACCAUGCCCUGCGCCUUCCUCACACUGUUCGUCAGCGCCGCGCAAGCGCUGGCAGCGCCUUCUCCCAUCCUCAAAUCCCCCAAUUCCCGAUCCAGCACCUCCUUGAUCCCUUCCAGGAAAGAAAUAAGCUCCUUGAUGCUCUCUUUCUUGGCGAUCAUCGCAUUGGCAUCCUGGAUGACAGCGCUGAGCUCCUUGAGCAGUACGGCAACGCCCGGGCUUGCCAUAGCCGCCCAAUUGCAAGGCGCGCCUCCCCAAAACCUAGUUGAUAGGCCGCACGGCCGCGAGCCACAUUCUCACCUGUUCUAACGCGAUCGAUCGAUGCACCAGACGCGCAGCGCUUUGACCCAGCUCGACUCACGCGCAUAAAGUCAACAUAAAUUUGUGUUUGACCUAAAAACUCAUUUGUACUCUAACGCGAUCUUUGACACACAGAGAAACCAUCUUGUUUGUAGGUCUUCGGUCUGAUGCCGGAGAAGAACAGUAUCUUGGCGUAUGCCCCACAAGGGCAUCUUGAUGUAGCUACAAGCUACUUUGCCGAGAUGCCUUUAACCUGCUUGGCGUCUACGCACAAAGGGCAAAGAGGAUCUUCGAUCAGAUGCCACCGUCUCCUGGAACUCGAUGCUCUCUGCACAUACCCAGAAUGGGUAUCUGAAAGAAGCCAACCGGACCUGGUUUCAUGCAAUUCGACUCUUUACAUUUCCUCUCUCAACGAUAGCCUGAAUGACUCUCACAAUUCCAUGCUCGCAGCCUACAAAUGAUAUCUGGAAGACUGUAAGUUUCUCUUUGAUAACAUGCAGGUCUGGCUGCAAAAUUUCUAUCGAUCGAUUGUUCUUUUUGAGCAUUUUUUCCUAGACCAUCAACCUUUUAGAGACGAGCAAAAGGAAGAGCUCAAGGCCAUUGGAGGUGACGAAGUCAAAUUUGAAGAAGAUCACAAGUGGUAAAAUGGCAUACGGGCAAUCGACGCUGUUGGAGGUCCUCUAGUUUCUUUCACACUUAGGUGGUGUGUUCCUGCAUGAGAGACCAAGGAACGAUCCUUUGCUACAGUGUUCUUGACGAGAAACCAGAAGCCCAAAUGAAUGUCAUCGACCUCAUUUUUCGGCUAGUUAAGGUGCAUGGGUUUUACGUUGUCAAGUGGAAUCUUUCAGCAAAACCACUGCCACAAUCUUCGAGUUGAUCUUGAAGAGAGCCUCUAGCGGGGGAGAAGUCAAUACGUAAAAGCCGGGUUUGUCUUUUAUAUAUUUGUGUGUUCUACUGUUUGAUUUUCGUGGUGAGCUCUUGCGUGUCAAAUAGUUCCUAGGGUGAUAAUAGUUUGUCUGUGAAAGUUUCUGAAGAGCUUACUUUGCUCAGUGCACCUCCAAUAGCGUCAUAUGCCAUAUUACCGCUUGUGAUCGUUUUCACUUCCUCCACAACAUCCUCAAUUUUGUAGUUUAUGACUUCGUCGCCUCCAAAACAAAAGAAUUUUGAAAUUCAUAAACUUGAGGAAAUAGUUCUCUAGAUAGUGCAAAAUGGCAUAUGACGCUAUUGAAGGUGCACUGACCAAAGUAAGCCCUUCUUUUAGUUUCUUUCAUAAUUCCUCUUGCUUCUUUGUUGUAAUCUCCAGGUCAUUGUGGCACAGCGCGUUCCAGCAGCUUAGAUACCAGACAGCGUGAGAAAUCAAGGAACGAUCCUUUGCUAUGGUUUUCUUGACGAGAAACCAAAAGCCCAGGUUCAUUUUUCAGCUAGUUAAGGUGCAUGGAUUUUACGUUGUCAAAUGGGUGGAAUCUUUCAGCGGCCGGACGAGUUUUGCAAAACCACCAGAGAGGAGAGCACACAGAUAUAUGAAGACCGACCCAGCUUUUAUGUAUGGCUUCGUGGGCCCUGACCAAUGGGAACCACCAGAGGAGCCAUGACUUCCUUCCAGAUCAACUCGGAAGAUUGUGGCCCAUACUUUACAUCUCUUUUGUGGUUUGUGCAGUUGUUAGCGGUUGUUGGCGACACAGGAUUUUGAGCAACACCUGUCCUGUACCAUCGCCACCUUGCAUACUGUUGUGUGAGCACUAUCGCUGAAACGCUCCACUUGGAUGGCCUUCUGCGCAAAAAACUCAAAGAUUUAUAACUGGAAACUCAAGCUUAAAAGUACGGAAGUCAAGAUUAAGAAGAAAUUCAUUGAGUCUCCUGACAGCUUCUUUGCGCCAUUCUAUGAUUCUUUGGUUGUGGUGGCACAGCUUUCCCCUAGUAACUAGUAACUUGCACAGGCUGAGGUGUUCUCACAUGCAAUUCCAUCUCUCAGUCCCCAGGCACUUCUUGUUCCACCUUCACCUUUGCUAUGCCAGGUCCUUUUUCCAUGUUUCGUGGCACAUCUUGCUCUGUCUUGCUUCCCAUGAAGCAACCAUAUGAGUGUCCCGUCCUGUAGAAUGUACACAAUGUCCACUGCUUUUUCGUUGAACGCAAGGGGACGUACGGCAUUAGUUUGACGAGGGCUUCAAGCUCCUUGUUGUGUGCAGAAGUCACAAACAGCUGAAACGGACUUAGCACCUGUCCCCAAAUGCGGAUAAAGGUUGCCAUUGCAAUGAGCGCAGACUGAGCAACGAGCUUAACUUGGUUCUUCAUCAUGUGUCUCUUUGCGAGAUAACUUGCCACCUUGAUCCGAGUUUCUUGGUUGAUCAAAAGAUCAGUACACCAAAAGGCAUGGGCACGACGUUUACUUACCUUCGCAAGACGUGCAAGCAACCGUUGAAUUCUUCCUGCCUCGGCCAACGUUUGACUUAGUUCCGAAAAGCCAACUGAGAGAGGUCUUGGUCCUUGCUAGCGAGAAGGCUGGCCAGGUGAAUCACGGCGCCUUUCUCUGUGCCUAGAAUCUCGCAAACCUCUAGGCCGCUGGUUGAAUAGCCGAGCAGCAUUUGCAUUCCUCGCUACCAAGGCUUCACACACUGAAUCUUAGGAAGCCUUCCUUCACGACAAUGUCCUGUGACAAAGAUAACAAAUGGGAGUAUAAGCAGAAACUUGCGCGAGUCGAACACACCUGAUUGCUACAGCCAUCCUGUCAACAACUUCGAGCGCUUUCGAGCGGAAAAGAGCAGCACCUUCCAAAUGGUCUUUCGCAGUACAACUUUACAAGGUUGGAAUGGAGCUCCGUGGUCGACAAGACGCGUCCACUGAUCAUGCUUCACAUGCUAAUCUCGAAAUGUUCUAACUCGAUCGAUCGAUGCUCUGGCAUACCAGACGCGCAACGCUUUGACCCAGCUCGCCUCACCCACCCGCGUAUAGUCAACACAAUACGUUGUGUUUGACUAAAUGAACUUUCAUUU